Molecule: ribosomal RNA, 326 nt
Filed under: uncultured eukaryote
Lineage: Eukaryota
Description: partial 18S ribosomal RNA
Rfam family: Eukaryotic small subunit ribosomal RNA
Source: RNAcentral
CCCUUAGAUGUUCUGGGCCGCACGCGCGCUACACUGACGGAGGCAGCGAGCAUGUCCUUCGCCGAGAGGUGUGGGGAAUCUUGUGAGUCUCCGUCGUGCUGGGGAUAGAUGGUUGCAAUUGUCGAUCUUGAACGAGGAAUUCCUAGUAAACGCAGAUCAUCAAUCUGCAUUGAUUACGUCCCUGCCCUUUGUACACACCGCCCGUCGCACCUACCGAUUGGAUGGUCCGGUGAAGCCUCGGGAUUGUGGUUCUUGCCGCUUUAUUGUGGCGUGACCGCGAGAACUUGUCUAAACCUUAUCAUCUAGAGGAAGGUGAAGUCGUAACA